This is a transfer RNA of Camelus ferus (Wild Bactrian camel), 72 nucleotides long. It matches the Rfam family "tRNA". Rfam says of the family: Transfer RNA (tRNA) molecules are approximately 80 nucleotides in length. NCBI's taxonomy places the organism in Eukaryota, Metazoa, Chordata, Mammalia, Artiodactyla, Camelidae. The record is from Rfam.
GAGGGUACAGCUCAAUGGUAGAGUGCAUGCCUAGCAUGCACAAAGUCCUUGGUUCAAACCCCAGUACCUCCA